UGCAAAAUAUUGUGUGGUGAUUGGUCGAUGGUCGAUGGUCGUCUCCUCCUCGUUUGGGUUUUUCCCCUGCUCAGCACAGGUGUCUGGACCACAAAGACGAGUUGUUUGUCGCGUUCCCAGG
Syngnathus acus (greater pipefish) is the source of this 121-nucleotide long non-coding RNA. RefSeq lists it as uncharacterized. The record is from RefSeq and is a predicted model, not a curated record. Lineage: Eukaryota; Metazoa; Chordata; Actinopteri; Syngnathiformes; Syngnathidae. The transcript is spliced from 3 exons.